GCAUACUUACAAAAGAGUAACAUUAUGCCCUGUGAAACAACCGUUGUGCUCUAAAAACUUAAGCUUAAGCUAUUAGAGAACGGUGUUUAAACACUUUUAUAUUUAACACUUCCUCUCACGUCUGGGCUCGAGACUUUUUAGUCGGCCCAUGACGUGGGGCUUGAAUUAAAUGAGAGAAAAUUAAUAUGCUAGGAGCCUGGCGUGAUUUGAACUCAGGACAACCUGCUCUGAUACCAUGUGAAACAACUGUUGUACUCUAAAAACUUAAGCUUAAACUAUUAGAGAACGGUGUUUAAACACUUUUAUAUUUAACAUGCCCAUUUUUGAAAGUACGUAGCUGUGUAAUCUGGUUGGUGGAAAUUCUAUUAUCAAAAAAUCUAUACAAAGUAGGAGAUGGUGGACUCCACAGAGUCCAAAGGAGCCCAUCGCUUAAGCGCGCGUUUGGUUUGCGUUAUCUUUUUAAGAUUCCUAGUAAUCCGAUAGGAAUAAAAAAAUAUGACGGUGUUUGGCUAAACGCACUACGUAAUCUAGUUGGUAAUAUUAGAUUUACUUGGGAAUGAGAUUCAUCCCAAAGUACUAAUCUCAUCCCCUUGAGAGAGGGUGGGUAUCCUCAAAUUAAUUGAUUGGGAUAAUCAUAAUAUGUCUAAUAUCUUUCUUUCUCCCUACCCGCCGGCUAGUUGGUUUUAUUUUUCUUUACACUCUAACCUCAUAUCUCUCUCUAAAAUUUUUUUUUUCUCUCUAAACUUCAACUCUUUUUCUCUCUCUAAACUAAGCUCUCCCCUCCCUCCUCUUUUUCUAAAAUCUCAACUCUCUCACUACCUCUAAUCUCGAUUCUAUUUCUCUUUCUAUUUCAUUAAUUAUGCUCUCUCUCUCUAACCUAUGUUCUCUCUCUUCCUUUUUUCUAAAAAAAUGUUGAAAUUUUUGGUGCAUUAUCUAAAAUUAAUUAAAGAAAAUAAAUAAAUUAAUUGUAUAUUUUUUGUAAACUUAAAUAACAUGACUAAAUAAUAUAACCGGGCGAACCAAACACAGGAAUGCCACAUUCUUAGUAAUAGGAUGAAUAGGAAUAAGAUUCUCGGACAUCUUUUUAUUGCUAGUAAUCUUUCAUAGUGCGAACCAAACGCACCCUAAGAGUAAUAUUAUGCCCACUUUCUAUAGUACAUAGAAGCAUAUUCUGGAUUGUGGAAAUUUUAUUAUCAAGAGGUCUAGCCAAAUUACGAGAUGGACUCUACACACCGUCCAAAAGAGCUAAUGGCUCAACAUGCAUUCUAUAUGGUGGGAGUAGGCACUAGGCAAAGUAAUAUUCUAUACCAGAAAUCACACGUAGAAACAUCGUAUUUUGCUCAAUUUUGGACUAGGUCAAAUCUUUUUCUUUACAAGGUAUUGCCAUGCGAAAGAGUUAGCACUUCUUGUUCCUUUUUGAGUUCACAUGCUUUCUUAGUUGUUUAUCCUUGCUUAGCAGUUUGUUACUUGCGAAACAUUUGUCUCA
This 1486-nucleotide long non-coding RNA is filed under the name Ananas comosus (pineapple). RNAcentral's name for it is "long non-coding RNA (ACOM_LNC007496)". Lineage: Eukaryota; Viridiplantae; Streptophyta; Magnoliopsida; Poales; Bromeliaceae. The record is from RNAcentral.